AGUGCUUGCACUUUGCUGACGACCGGCGCACGGGUGCGUAACGCGUAUGCAAUCUACCUCUUACUGAGGGAUAGCCCAUGGAAACGUGGAUUAACACCUCAUGGUAUUUUAAAUUGGCAUCAAUUUAAGAUUAAAGGUUACGGUAAGAGAUGAGCAUGCGUCCUAUUAGCUAGAUGGUAAGGUAACGGCUUACCAUGGCAACGAUAGGUAGGGGUCCUGAGAGGGAGAUCCCCCACACUGGUACUGAGACACGGACCAGACUCCUACGGGAGGCAGCAGUGAGGAAUAUUGGACAAUGGGCGAGAGCCUGAUCCAGCCAUGCCGCGUGCAGGAAGACUGCCCUAUGGGUUGUAAACUGCUUUUGUAUAGGAAGAAACCUUUCCUCGUGAGGAAAAUUGACGGUACUAUACGAAUAAGGAUCGGCUAACUCCGUGCCAGCAGCCGCGGUAAUACGGAGGAUCCAAGCGUUAUCCGGAAUCAUUGGGUUUAAAGGGUCCGUAGGCGGGUUUAUAAGUCAGUGGUGAAAGUCUGCAGCUUAACUGUAGAACUGCCAUUGAUACUGUAGAUCUUGAAUCAUUAUGAAGUGGUUAGAAUGUGUAGUGUAGCGGUGAAAUGCAUAGAUAUUACACAGAAUACCGAUUGCGAAGGCAGAUCACUAAUAAUGUAUUGACGCUGAUGGACGAAAGCGUAGGUAGCGAACAGGAUUAGAUACCCUGGUAGUCUACGCCGUAAACGAUGGUUACUAGCUGUCCGGCCUAAUUGAGGGCUGGGUGGUUAAGCGAAAGUGAUAAGUAACCCACCUGGGGAGUACGUUCGCAAGAAUGAAACUCAAAGGAAUUGACGGGGGCCCGCACAAGCGGUGGAGCAUGUGGUUUAAUUCGAUGAUACGCGAGGAACCUUACCAGGGCUUAAAUGCAGUCUGACGUACUU
RNAcentral lists this ribosomal RNA (930 nucleotides) under Sufflavibacter sp. RP13. RNAcentral's name for it is "bacterial SSU rRNA". It matches the Rfam family "Bacterial small subunit ribosomal RNA", at positions 75 to 1002 of the family's 1533-position model. Lineage: Bacteria; Pseudomonadati; Bacteroidota; Flavobacteriia; Flavobacteriales; Flavobacteriaceae. The record is from RNAcentral.